This 467-nucleotide ribosomal RNA is filed under the name uncultured bacterium. RNAcentral describes it as "partial 16S ribosomal RNA". It matches the Rfam family "Bacterial small subunit ribosomal RNA", at positions 29 to 507 of the family's 1533-position model. The record is from RNAcentral.
ACGCACGCUGGCGGCGUGCUUAACACAUGCCAGUCGAACGGAAAGGCCCUGCUUUUGUGGGGUGCUCGAGUGGCGAACGGGUGAGUAACACGUGAGUAACCUGCCCUUGACUUUGGGAUAACUUCAGGAAACUGGGGCUAAUACCGGAUAGGAGCUCCUGCUGCAUGGUGGGGGUUGGAAAGUUUCGGCGGUUGGGGAUGGACUCGCGGAUUAUCAGCUUGUUGGUGGGGUAGUGGCUUACCAAGGCUUUGACGGGUAGCCGGCCUGAGAGGGUGACCGGCCACAUUGGGACUGAGAUACGGCCCAGACUCCUGCGGGAGGCAGCAGUGGGGAAUAUUGCACAAUGGGCGGAAGCCUGAUGCAGCAACGCCGCGUGCGGGAUGACGGCCUUCGGGUUGUAAACCGCUUUCGCCUGUGACGAAGCGUGAGUGACGGUAAUGGGUAAAGAAGCACCGGCUAACUACGUG